UCCUACGGGACGCAGCAGUGAGGAAUAUUGGUCAAUGGGCGGAAGCCUGAACCAGCCAAGUCGCGUGAGGGAAUAAGGCCCUACGGGUCGUAAACCUCUUUUGCCGGGGAGCAAGGGCGGGGACGUGUCCCGGCCCGGAGAGUACCCGGAGAAAAAGCUCCGGCUAACUACGUGCCAGCAGCCGCGGUAAUACGUAGGGAGCGAGCGUUGUCCGGAAUUACUGGGUGUAAAGGGAGCGUAGGCGGGAUGGCAAGUCAGAUGUGAAAACUGAGGGCUCAACUUUCAGACUGCAUUUGAAACUGCUG
RNAcentral lists this ribosomal RNA (305 nucleotides) under uncultured bacterium. RNAcentral's name for it is "bacterial SSU rRNA". It matches the Rfam family "Bacterial small subunit ribosomal RNA", at positions 337 to 638 of the family's 1533-position model. The record is from RNAcentral.